CAUGCAAGUCGAACGGCAGCACGGAGAGCUUGCUCUCUGGUGGCGAGUGGCGAACGGGUGAGCUAAUAUAUCGGAACGUGUCCAAUAAUGGGGGAUAACGAGUCGAAAGAUUCGCUAAUACCGCAUACGCCCUACGGGGGAAAGUAGGGGAUCGUAAGACCUUGCGUUAAUGGAGCGGCCGAUAUCUGAUUAGCUUGUUGGUGAGGUAAAGGCUCACCAAGGCGA
Molecule: ribosomal RNA, 225 nt
Filed under: uncultured beta proteobacterium
Lineage: Bacteria; Pseudomonadati; Pseudomonadota; Betaproteobacteria
Description: partial 16S ribosomal RNA
Rfam family: Bacterial small subunit ribosomal RNA
Source: RNAcentral